CCCUAAGGGCUUUCAGUGGCCUUUGCUCUCUACUGUGCCUGAUCUUAUUUUAGAGUUCAUGAUACCCUCCUGAGAAAGUGCUGCAUAUUCAUCCCAUUCCAAUGCAGAUCUGUCUCCUUCCAAAUGAGUUCUCUCAUUAGCAAUGGCUAUAGCCCUUGACAGUUUAGAGUAACUGUUUUACUUUCAGAUACCUAAAGUUUAAUGAGAUAAAUCUCACCCAACGUGCAGUCCUACAGUGCUUCAGGAGCCACUGCAGCCCAGAGUUAAUGCCAUUGUGUCUCCGCAUGGCAGGAGCUGGCACUGCAAGCUCCCUGGCACAGGCACUGCCUCUGUUUAGGGCUUUAAGUCACCUCUAUUGCCCCUAAACUCUAUCAUCACCAUCACAGCAAUUAGUGUUAGUAGGACCUCGUAAAGACAGAAUAAAUCACUGAGAUAACUGGUAGAAAUUAGACAGCAUAUGCACUUGUCCCUUGUAGGUGAUGAAUGUUAAAACUGUUAAAAGGAAGAGUGACAAUAUUUGCUAUUAAAAGUACAUGAGAAUUUUUGGUUCUUGUCCAGUGGAAGGAUAUGAGCCUUAAAUCACAUGUUUUUCUGGAUUCUUGUGAGAAAAAAAUAUGGCCUGCAAUCUAACAAUAGUUGUUUUACAGUGGCAGUAGUUUAUUUUCUAGUCCCUCAUGUCACUAACAUAACCAAAUCCUCCCACAGCUCCUCCAAGGGGAAGAUUUGCUAGGGUUGGCCAAAACAUUGGACAUGGACCCUGGCACAUCUGCUCGUUGGGCUGAGAACAAGCUGCUCUCUCUGGGAAGACCAAUAACAGCAGAGUUCAGUGACCAUAACUUGGAAAAGCCUCUAUCCUCCAUAGCAGACUGAUCACAGCUUACCUUGGUUCUUCUUAUUUGUUCUUAUUUAUUUAUAUGCACACACAAUAUCUGCUCAAACAAUUUUUUUUCCCCACCCAGGAAAGCACUGUGCUUGGCAGUCUGUGGGCCAGUUUCCCUGGCAAACCCAGCUCACCAGCUGCUUUCACUCUGCCUGUGCAGACUGUUCUGGCUUUACACCACUACCAUUGAGCAGAUAUCUG
RNAcentral lists this long non-coding RNA (1081 nucleotides) under Anas platyrhynchos platyrhynchos (common mallard). RNAcentral describes it as "lncRNA (ENSAPLG00000028553.1)". The record is from RNAcentral. Lineage: Eukaryota; Metazoa; Chordata; Aves; Anseriformes; Anatidae.